RNAcentral lists this transfer RNA (76 nucleotides) under Bacteroidota bacterium. RNAcentral describes it as "Bacteroidetes bacterium (grounwater metagenome) tRNA-Glu". It matches the Rfam family "tRNA". From Rfam's summary of the family: Transfer RNA (tRNA) molecules are approximately 80 nucleotides in length. Their secondary structure includes four short double-helical elements and three loops (D, anti-codon, and T loops). The record is from RNAcentral. RNAcentral also lists the same sequence under 2 other names. Lineage: Bacteria; Pseudomonadati; Bacteroidota.
GGUCCCAUCGUCUAGAGGCCUAGGACAUAGCCCUCUCAAGGCUAAGACACGGGUUCGAAUCCCGUUGGGACUACCA